GGCCCUGUGGUGAAGUUCAUGUUGAGUUGCAAGCUCAUUGAUACACAUUAAAAGUGUGUCGGGGCCU
RNAcentral lists this transfer RNA (67 nucleotides) under Bucorvus leadbeateri (southern ground hornbill). RNAcentral describes it as "tRNA-Cys". The record is from RNAcentral. Lineage: Eukaryota; Metazoa; Chordata; Aves; Bucerotiformes; Bucorvidae.